AAAUCCUUACCCACUGAGUGGUCCCUCUGUCAAAUCCACGUCUCUCCAAUUUAUGAGACAAGGAUAUCAUUGGGGACAGUGUCAAAUGCUUUGCACAGCCCAGGUAGAUGAUGUCUGCUGCUUUUCCCCCGUCCACCAAAGCUGCAACCCCCUUGU
This is a long non-coding RNA of Oxyura jamaicensis (ruddy duck), 156 nucleotides long. RefSeq lists it as uncharacterized. Lineage: Eukaryota; Metazoa; Chordata; Aves; Anseriformes; Anatidae. The transcript has 3 exons. The record is from RefSeq and is a predicted model, not a curated record.